Molecule: small RNA, 154 nt
Filed under: Chrysemys picta bellii (western painted turtle)
Lineage: Eukaryota; Metazoa; Chordata; Testudines; Emydidae
Description: TUC338 (ENSCPBG00000022375.1)
Source: RNAcentral
CUGAAGCUUUGUCUUUUUAUCCACAGAACUGAUGUGCCGGGCAGUACAAGUCCAAGCUUCCCCACACUGACCCUCCAACAUGCCUCACCCCUGACCUGAAAAGAUUCACUUCUAUUGAUGAAGGGUAGCUCUGCACAUUCACACAAUCCCAUAC